ACUCCUACGGGAGGCAGCAGUGGGGAAUAUUGGACAAUGGGCGAAAGCCUGAUCCAGCCAUGCCGCGUGUGUGAAGAAGGUCUUCGGAUUGUAAAGCACUUUAAGUUGGGAGGAAGGGCAGUUACCUAAUACGUAAUUGUUUUGACGUUACCGACAGAAUAAGCACCGGCUAACUCUGUGCCAGCAGCCGCGGUAA
This 196-nucleotide ribosomal RNA is filed under the name uncultured Pseudomonas sp. RNAcentral describes it as "partial 16S ribosomal RNA". It matches the Rfam family "Bacterial small subunit ribosomal RNA", at positions 335 to 523 of the family's 1533-position model. Lineage: Bacteria; Pseudomonadati; Pseudomonadota; Gammaproteobacteria; Pseudomonadales; Pseudomonadaceae. The record is from RNAcentral.